CGCAAUGGGCGAAAGCCUGACGGAGCAAUACCGCGUGAGGGACGAAGGCCUGUGGGUUGUAAACCUCUUUUUUCAGGGAAGAAGAUUUGACGGUACCUGAGGAAUCAGCAUCGGCUAACUCCGUGCCAGCAGCCGCGGUAAGACGGAGGAUGCAAGCGUUAUCCGGAAUUAUUGGGCGUAAAGCGUCCGCAGGCGGUUUUGUAAGUCUGUCUUUAAAGAGUGGAGCUCAACUCCAUAAAGGGGAUGGAAACUGCAAGACUAGAGGUAGGUAGGGGUAGAAGGAAUUCCCAGUGUAGCGGUGAAAUGCGUAGAUAUUGGGAAUUACUCCAGCAGCGAAGGCGUUGAACUGGACCAAACCUCACGCUCUUGGACGAAAGGUA
This 380-nucleotide ribosomal RNA is filed under the name uncultured Limnothrix sp. RNAcentral's name for it is "bacterial SSU rRNA". It matches the Rfam family "Bacterial small subunit ribosomal RNA", at positions 367 to 762 of the family's 1533-position model. Lineage: Bacteria; Bacillati; Cyanobacteriota; Cyanophyceae; Pseudanabaenales; Pseudanabaenaceae. The record is from RNAcentral.